RNAcentral lists this unclassified non-coding RNA (256 nucleotides) under fungal sp. Its description in RNAcentral is "partial internal transcribed spacer region". The stretch from base 1 to 46 matches the Rfam family "Eukaryotic small subunit ribosomal RNA", at positions 1786 to 1831 of the family's 1831-position model. Lineage: Eukaryota; Fungi. The record is from RNAcentral.
AAGUCGUAACAAGGUUUCCGUAGGUGAACCUGCGGAAGGAUCAUUACCAAAUUAACGGUCUUCGGACCUAAACCCCCUUGUGAAUUUUAAUACUGUCUUUGUGGGGAAGAAAAGGAGGGUAGAGUGGUUUUUAUAGCCACUUUGCCGGAUGGUUUUUCCCCACAUUAAAAAAGCUAAACUACUUUAAUUCAAUGUAAUGGUGGAUUUAUAACAAAUAACCAAAAGACAACUUUUAACGGUGGAUCUCUUGGCUCGU